Molecule: ribosomal RNA, 398 nt
Filed under: Parvimonas micra
Lineage: Bacteria; Bacillati; Bacillota; Tissierellia; Tissierellales; Peptoniphilaceae
Description: bacterial SSU rRNA
Rfam family: Bacterial small subunit ribosomal RNA
Source: RNAcentral
GACGAACGCUGGCGGCGUGCUUAACACAUGCAAGUCGAACGUGAUUUUUGUGGAAAUUCUUUCGGGAAUGGAAAUGAAAUGAAAGUGGCGAACGGGUGAGUAACACGUGAGCAACCUACCUUACACAGGGGGAUAGCCGUUGGAAACGACGAUUAAUACCGCAUGAGACCACAGAAUCGCAUGAUAUAGGGGUCAAAGAUUUAUCGGUGUAAGAAGGGCUCGCGUCUGAUUAGCUAGUUGGAAGGGUAAAGGCCUACCAAGGCGACGAUCAGUAGCCGGUCUGAGAGGAUGAACGGGCCACAUUGGAAACUGAGACACGGUUCCAAAACUCCUACGGGAGGCAGCAGUGGGGAAUAUUGCCACAAUGGGGGGAAACCCCUGAAUGCAAGCGAACCGCC